Molecule: ribosomal RNA, 255 nt
Filed under: uncultured bacterium
Lineage: Bacteria
Description: partial 16S ribosomal RNA
Rfam family: Bacterial small subunit ribosomal RNA
Source: RNAcentral
UACGGGGGGGAGCAAGCGUUGUUCGGAUUUACUGGGCGUAAAGGGCGCGUAGGCGGUCGUGACAAGUCACUUGUGAAAUCUCCGGGCUUAACUCGGAACGGUCAAGUGAUACUGUCGGACUAGAGUACAGAAGGGGCAACUGGAAUUCCCAGUGUAGCGGUGAAAUGCGCAGAUAUUGGGAGGAACACCAGCGGCGAAGGCGGCACUCUGGGCUGGUAUUGACGCUGAGGAACGAAAGCGUGGGGAGCGAACAGG